Molecule: ribosomal RNA, 253 nt
Filed under: uncultured bacterium
Lineage: Bacteria
Description: partial 16S ribosomal RNA
Rfam family: Bacterial small subunit ribosomal RNA
Source: RNAcentral
UACAGAGGUCUCGAGCGUUAGGCGGAAUCACUGGGCUUAAAGCGUGUGUAGGUGGAUGCCUAAGUACCUUGUGAAAUCCCACGGCUUAACCGUGGAACUGCUUGGUAUACUGGGUGUCUUGAGUCACUCAGGGGCGAGCGGAACAAAUGGUGGAGCGGUGAAAUGCGCAGAUAUCAGGAAGAACACCCGUGGCGAAGGCGGCUCUCUGGGACGGUACUGACGCUGAGGCGCGAAAGCUAGGGGAGCAAACAGG